UCCUCGUUAGUAUAGUGGACAGUAUCUCCACCUGUCACGCGGAAGACCGGGGUUCGAUUCCCCGAUGGGGAG
Molecule: non-coding RNA, 72 nt
Organism: Danio rerio (zebrafish)
Lineage: Eukaryota; Metazoa; Chordata; Actinopteri; Cypriniformes; Danionidae
Source: Rfam